UACGGGGGGGGCAAGCGUUGUUCGGAAUUACUGGGCGUAAAGCGCGUGUAGGCGGCUGCGUAAGUCGGGCGUGAAAUCCCACGGCUCAACUGUGGAAGAGCACUCGAAACUGCGUAGCUAGAGUCCUGGAGAGGAAGGUGGAAUACUUGGUGUAGAGGUGAAAUUCGUAGAUAUCAAGUGGAACACCAGUGGCGAAGGCGGCCUUCUGGACAGUGACUGACGCUGAGACGCGAAAGCGUGGGGAGCAAACAGG
Molecule: ribosomal RNA, 253 nt
Filed under: uncultured bacterium
Lineage: Bacteria
Description: partial 16S ribosomal RNA
Rfam family: Bacterial small subunit ribosomal RNA
Source: RNAcentral